Sphaeramia orbicularis (orbiculate cardinalfish) is the source of this 2674-nucleotide long non-coding RNA. The record is from Ensembl. NCBI's taxonomy places the organism in Eukaryota, Metazoa, Chordata, Actinopteri, Kurtiformes, Apogonidae.
AUCCUUUCUUAAUGACAUUUUAACAAAAGUUCUAAAGCGGCAUUUUUUUCCCCAUCUGUGUUCCCGUCUUAGCCGGAGGAACCCUGCCAGUUGAUUGAACGCAGCGUUUCAAUGGGCCGACUCAACUUCCGUGACAGCGACUACCUGAGGAACGGAGCCCACCACCGGAGCAGAGUCCGGGAGAGGUCCUACAUGUUCCAGAAGGACAGCUCUGCGCCUCCACCCAAAAUUUUAAUUUCGUCCGUGUCGGAGGACCGGGGCACCGUGACGCCCAGGUUCAGGCCCGCUGCAGCUCGAUCAUGGUCCACUGAAGACUUCCUGGCCGAUUCCCCAGAGGAGAACACCACUAGUGUGGUCAAGGAUCAGAGUAAACCUGGUACUCCAGUUGUCAGAGACUCGGACUCGCCUCAGCUCUGCCACACCCACUCACCGACCGAUUCAUCAGUGCCCGAGUCGGUGAACACGGAGUCUGUAAUCGGUGACUCUGCCAUCAGCUCGCCGGACUCGUGGGUGGAGAGUGAGUAUGGGGUGACGCCUGAGAAGUUCUGCGAGAGUCGAAGCGACAGUUCUCUGUGUGACAGCGGAACAGCCUGGGAUUUGUACCGCGCCACACCUGUGGAGAUCACAUCUCUGGAUGACGGGUACAUGCCCCCCACAGAGGACAGAAUAUCUGAUGAACCGCAGACCUCUGAGUCAUAUAUCGAUGAAGGGAUCUAUUCGUUAAGCUCCUUGGAGAACGCACAGGAGAGAAUCCACGGCCAAUCAGACCAAAAGCCAGUGGAAGAAAUAAAAGGGAAAGAAAGCCCCGAACUGAAGUCUGCGCUAAAACAGACGCCUGAAAAGGAUCAAACUAAGGUCACAGAGGAAGUAAAUUCUAAACAGAUGGACAAAAGUAUUCUUGACAAAGUACCUAGUGACCAAGAGCCCUCUUUAGGUUUCAGCGAGACCGAAGAACUUACCUCCUUAAGUGGUGAAAGUGUCCUUGAACCUAAUGAAACUAACCAAAACCAGUCCAGCGCCAUCACUGAAAAACCUUUACUUGACUCUUCCACUGAAGAACCAGGUAUUAAGGAAGGGAGAACUUACAUAGAAUCAAAGGUAACUGACACUGGGGAAGCACAGGACCUUCAAGGUCAAUCUAAUGUUCAACCCGAAAGCCUGAGUAAGAGAGGGAAUUCACAGGAAGUGGAAGUGGAAAGUGGAUGUCAGGAAACAGAAUCUGGUGUAGAGGAAAAACCAGGGCAGUCGAAAGAUGAAUCAGGGAUGAUUUUAAAAGAUUUGGAUGACAGUAUUGUAGAAUCACAAGACAAAGUAAGUGAAGAGGGUCUCAAAGGUCAAGAAAGCUUAGAGACUCCUGAUAUCAUUGCAAACAUAAAUUCAGAUACCCAAGAUGACGCAUCAAAAACAAAUCUGGAGCCAAGUAUCGGCAUCAAUAUACCACUGAUUUCCAUUUCUAGUGAGCCAGAGGUACUAGAAGAGGAAGAGGAGGCAACAUGUGUCACAGAAGUACAGAAUCAUUCCGGGGAUGAAGACUCACACCGGCCAGAAGUGUCUGGAAGUAACGAGAGUGACACAAAUAUUACAAGUCCUCAGAAUACAAAUGAAGUCAGCUUUGUCUCCAAUAAAGAUACUGACGGUGAUCUUACUGAGAGUGUUGGAAUUAUAACGUCAGUGCAACCUAAAGCAACAGAAAAUGGACAUUUGGGAGACAAAGGUGUCCAGAGUCCAGUGACUGCUGAACCAAAUGGAAAGAUCCUAACUGUGGAUACCGACUCUUCCACUGCUUCAAAACACAUGGACUUGUUUUGUACAGACGUUGGUCGAAGUUCUCCCAGUGGGGAUCUGGUUGACCUCAUUGAACCCAUGGAUCUUUUCUACCCCGAUAAAGAGGAGCCCAUGUUUACGGAGCCACCUGACAAUGAAAUGCAGAGCUGGCCCUCUGUCCUGAGUGUAUCUGCUCUCCAACCAGCGCCGACUUCAGAGAGUCUGCCAGAAGAGCAGCCGUUUAACCAACAGGACGAAGACACUGGGACGAGGGUGGAUUUACAUCAAGGACAGGUGAAGGUGAUAACGGAGAUCCACAAAGACACCGACAGACCGUCUGAAUCCCAAGAAUGGUCCUCAUUGCCUGGGAAGAAGAUAGGAGGACCCACGGGUGCUGAUGGGCAGGAAGACAGCAUCGAUCUCAUCGCGGGUCGACCACAGGGCGCGGACUCUGCCAAGGAAAACACAGACUCUGUGAGGAGUAUCAUUAAAAGUUCCUGCAGACCUGAUGAAAACCAGAUCCCUCCGGUUCUCCGCCACAGAAAGGGGACUCGCUUCGCUGAGUCCACGGACAAUCAGAGAGCAGUGUCUGUGUCUGCCAGAAAAGCUGAAGAUGACAGGUCUGAUUUUUGGUUGGGGGAGGACUGGGAGACGUAUUUGCUGCUGUUGCUGUGGCUGCUGCUCUACUGUUUCUGGGUGUUACCACAGAUCGACCUGAAGACACUGCCCAGCCUGUUACUUAACAUCAAACACUAAACAUAGUGUACACACACACACACACACACACACACACACACACACACACACACACACACACACACAUAGGACUUACUACCACUUCAACAUACACACAGCUCAACUGCCAUUCUACGUUCUCUGUACAUGACACUAAACUCCAGAUUAAGUGAAG